GAGUUUGAUCUUGGCUCAGAUUGAACGCUGGCGGCAUGCCUUACACAUGCAAGUCGAACGGCAGCAUGAUCUAGCUUGCUAGAUUGAUGGCGGAGUGGCGAACGGGUGAGUAAUACAUCGGAACGUGCCCUGUAGUGGGGAUAACUAGUCGAAAGAUUAGCUAAUACCGCAUACGACCUGAGGGUGAAAGUGGGGGACCGCAAGGCCUCAUGCUAUAGGAGCGGCCGAUGUCUGAUUAGCUAGUUGGUGGGUAAAGGCCCACCAAGGCGACGAGUCAGUAGCUGGUCUGAGAGGACGAUCAGCCACACUGGGACUGAGACACGGCCCAGACUCCUACGGGAGGCAGCAGUGGGGAAUUUGGAC
This 363-nucleotide ribosomal RNA is filed under the name uncultured microorganism. RNAcentral describes it as "bacterial SSU rRNA". It matches the Rfam family "Bacterial small subunit ribosomal RNA", at positions 9 to 369 of the family's 1533-position model. The record is from RNAcentral.